GACCACGUAGCUCAGUUCGAAGAGCAUUGGGCUAGUAUUCCAAAGGUCGUAGGUUCGAAUCCCACCGUGGCCG
RNAcentral lists this transfer RNA (73 nucleotides) under Paramuricea clavata. It matches the Rfam family "tRNA". From Rfam's summary of the family: Transfer RNA (tRNA) molecules are approximately 80 nucleotides in length. Lineage: Eukaryota; Metazoa; Cnidaria; Anthozoa; Malacalcyonacea; Plexauridae. The record is from Rfam by way of RNAcentral.